AGGUGGAGAGUCUGUUGAAUUUUGUUUUAUAACAUUUUAUCUUUAUUAAUAUCAAAAGAGGUUUAACAUAAUACAAGAAUAGAAACAUACAACAAAUACAUUUUUAAAUUGAACAUGAUAAUAGAAAAGUAAUAACACGAUGCUUCCUAACUCUUUUGCAGAAUAGACUAAUUCACUAACUUUAUCUAUUUUUGUUCUCGGUCUUAAAUGAUCUUGUGUUCGGCUGUCAUCUAUUGUGAUCCAUCGCCUUAUGUCACUUAAUAGAUCAGUGGGUGCGAUCUAUUUGUCAC
RNAcentral lists this long non-coding RNA (290 nucleotides) under Brassica napus (rape). RNAcentral describes it as "long non-coding RNA (BNAP_LNC025961)". The record is from RNAcentral. Lineage: Eukaryota; Viridiplantae; Streptophyta; Magnoliopsida; Brassicales; Brassicaceae.